This is a microRNA precursor of Equus asinus (donkey), 56 nucleotides long. The record is from Ensembl. Lineage: Eukaryota; Metazoa; Chordata; Mammalia; Perissodactyla; Equidae.
AGGCCCUGAAUCAAGACCAGCAGUUUGCUGUGGCUGUUGGUUUCAAGCAGGAGCCG